Long non-coding RNA from Adelges cooleyi (spruce gall adelgid), 694 nucleotides. RefSeq lists it as uncharacterized. Lineage: Eukaryota; Metazoa; Arthropoda; Insecta; Hemiptera; Adelgidae. The transcript has 6 exons. The record is from RefSeq and is a predicted model, not a curated record.
CCCUACGUCAACGGUCGCUCUCGUCGACUUCAUAUUCUCCUUGGAGCUCGAGUAGCGACGUGAAGUCUUUUCAUAGUAAAUCAACACUGUGGUUGGAAUCGGAUACAGAUGACGAACAUGGAAUUGGAAAUUGGUCUACAUCAGAACCAUCAAUAAUUUCGCUAGCAGAUUCAUGGUCAUCAACAGAUGUUACUUAUGAAUCGGAUGCAGACGUGUUACCUCCACUUCUGCGUCUUAAUCAGCCAGCUAUUGAAACCAUUUGGCUAACUGAUUCGGAUUAAUAUGGUUUUUAGGGAGGUAUUUAUUAUUGUUGAAAACAUGAACGUUAGAGAUCACUGUUAACAGAUAGAGUUGUUGGAAAUUAUUGUCAUGUGUACUCUACGCUAUGAGACUUAAAUGUUUUAAAAUCAAUGAGGUGAACCCUUCACUAACCGAAGAUAACCACAAUCUGGAGACCAUCUUGCAUGCUCGAUCCAAGGUUCGUCGUUCGGCUCCCAAGAUCUCAGACCUUGACGACAAUAAAAACAUGAGACAUCAUCAUUUGAUCCAUCACCAAUAUAAAUAAAACCGGCUUCACUCAUAAGUUCUCGCUUUGAAAUAAGUAGUGUAUUACUACAUUUAUCAAAAGUCUUGUUACGCGUUUUACAAUCUAAAUAGUCUAAUGUACAAAAAACAUCACAUUCACUAUUAUAAU